This 315-nucleotide RNase P RNA is filed under the name human gut metagenome. RNAcentral's name for it is "Bacterial RNase P class B". It matches the Rfam family "Bacterial RNase P class B". Rfam says of the family: Ribonuclease P (RNase P) is a ubiquitous endoribonuclease, found in archaea, bacteria and eukarya as well as chloroplasts and mitochondria. Its best characterised activity is the generation of mature 5'-ends of tRNAs by cleaving the 5'-leader elements of precursor-tRNAs. The record is from RNAcentral.
GAUGGUCGCUUUUAAGAAAUUAAAAGAGGAAAGUCCAUGCUCACACAGACUGAGAUGUCUGUAACGUUUGUGCCACUUUAAUUCAUAAAGGUGGGCAGUGUAAACUGACGGCAAAAAGUAGACCUAAGGGCAACUAUGGCUACUUGAUAAAGCACCACAGAGACGAGCUGACUGGAAACGGUCAGAUGAAACGAGGCAAGCCCCUCAAGUGAGAAACUCAAAUUUGGUAGAGGAGUCUACAAAAAAGAAUUCAAUUUUGCGUAGGAUGUCGCAAGACAUAGAUAAAUGACCAUCCACGACAGAACAUGGCUUAUU